AGCUAACGUUAGCAGCUAGCGUUACCAAGAUAACGUAAAUCGAACAAGUCCCUUUUCCAACGCGAAUUAAAGACUACAGGGGGUGAAAACCAUCACUCCCCAAUCAGUCAACAAUCAAUCAUCAAUCAGAAGACACACCUCCUCCUAUUUCCUACCCUAUCACAGUUCCUUCCCCAUGGUUUAAAAACCCCAUCAUUUGUUUGCUCUGGAGCAAUCUCUCGCUCAAUCUCUAGCUCAAUCUCUCUGUAAAUGCCAUGUCUGUAGGUCUCUGUGUUUCACUCUCGCUUUGUGUCUUAACCUCUCUUUUGUUUAAAGCACCUCCAUAGCACUUUGUCAUCACCUGUGAGUAUUGUUUUUGGUUAUGGUGUUUGUGUGUUGCUGGUGGGAAAAGGGGGAAACCAAGACAAGUCGCCCAUGGGCAUACACUACCCGUAGGUGAACUUUGUUAAACACACUAGUUAGAACUGGGCGGACCACCCACUGUAUUUUUGGUUAGUUAGUUAGCUGUUGUUAAAGUAGGCUAGUCUAGCUUAGGGGUGUUUUUGAAUAUUUAUUGUUUCUUUCCUUGGGUCCAGCUCAGCCCCCUUUCCUGCUCCCCCCAUUACCGUGUGUUUAUAAAUAAACCUAGAGUUUGACGGUA
Molecule: long non-coding RNA, 640 nt
Organism: Oncorhynchus nerka (sockeye salmon)
Lineage: Eukaryota; Metazoa; Chordata; Actinopteri; Salmoniformes; Salmonidae
Exons: 2
Source: RefSeq, a predicted model, not a curated record